UCGAGAAUAGUCUACAAUGGUCGAAAGACUGAUAGUGCGACGCCGCGUGAACGAAGAAGCCCUUCGGGGUGUAAAGUUCUUUUAUAUGUGAGCAAUGCCUUUUAUGUGAAUAGCAUGAGAGGAGCGAUAUUAGCAUAUGAAUAAGCAACGGCUAACUCCGUGCCAGCAGCCGCGGUAACACGGGGGUUGCAAGCGUUGUCCGGAAUUACUAGGCGUAAAGGGCAGGUAGGCGGAUAGAUAAGUUUUUUGUCAAAGGCGACGGCUCACCCGUCGUAUGGCAGGAGAUACUGUUUAUCUGGAAUGCGGUUGGGGAAGACAGAAUUCCUGGUGUAGCGGUGGAAUGCGCAGAGAUCAGGAGGAAUACCGAAGGCGAAGGCAGUCUUCUAAGCCGUUAUUGACGCUAAACUGCGAAGGUGUGGGUAUCAAACAGG
Molecule: ribosomal RNA, 431 nt
Filed under: uncultured bacterium
Lineage: Bacteria
Description: bacterial SSU rRNA
Rfam family: Bacterial small subunit ribosomal RNA
Source: RNAcentral